RNAcentral lists this small RNA (446 nucleotides) under Pan troglodytes (chimpanzee). RNAcentral describes it as "retained intron". Lineage: Eukaryota; Metazoa; Chordata; Mammalia; Primates; Hominidae. The record is from RNAcentral.
CUCUAAAUUCAACUGAAUUUCCCAUCAUAUCUGCUGGUGUUUAAAGAAGAGGUUUAUCUUCAGCAAUAAUAUAACUUGUGUUAAGACAUUUGAUUCUGAUAGCUUUGCUUUUCUCUCCUCCCCCUCAAUCCCCACCAACUCUUAGCAUUUCCUUGAGCUCUUCUGAGAAAAACCUGAACGUUGGAUGUACUAUGGGCAUUACAACUAUGGACAGAAUGACUACUGGCAGAAAUGAACACCAUGUGAGAAUUCUGGGAGCAAAGAUCUACACAAAACAACAAGGAAGUAAAGGAAGUCAGCUUGAUAAUACAGGAGGGAGGCUCUUUUUUCUGAGGUCAUUGCCAGAUGAAGCACUGAAGAAUUAGCAGGCUUUCGCUCCAUUUGCUUUGGACAGAUUUAAAGACUAGGCACAGCCAUUUGUGUUAAUUAAAAUCUCUCGCACCUUU